RNAcentral lists this transfer-messenger RNA (348 nucleotides) under Candidatus Fibrimonadaceae bacterium. It matches the Rfam family "transfer-messenger RNA". Rfam says of the family: Bacterial tmRNA, also known as 10Sa RNA or SsrA, is named for its dual tRNA and mRNA-like properties. The record is from RNAcentral. Lineage: Bacteria; Pseudomonadati; Fibrobacterota; Fibrobacteria; Candidatus Fibrimonadales; Candidatus Fibrimonadaceae.
GGGGGUGCUUUGGUUUCGACAGGAUUCCAGAUGCGCUAGUUGCAUGCCGAGGUGGGCUGGCCUCGUAAAAAGCCCGAAAAAGAUAAUCGGCAACGAUUACGCAAUCGCUGCUUAAACAGCAGCGCCGAAUUUUCUCCCUCUCCCGCUGGGUGAAGCAUUCGGCCGCAAUGCGGGAUAGAGUCUUGCGCUUGCCUGAACGCAAAGCUCGAAAUUCUCAGGCUGGCUUUUGCUCUGCGCUAACCUUUACGGGCGUUUACAAAGGCGAGACUUUAAAUGCAAAGGAAACGCAUGUAUGAGCGAACGCAAACAGAAUUUUGGACAGGGGUUCGACUCCCCUCACCUCCAGUU